This 388-nucleotide ribosomal RNA is filed under the name Chrysocampanula sp. Its description in RNAcentral is "partial small subunit ribosomal RNA". It matches the Rfam family "Eukaryotic small subunit ribosomal RNA", at positions 582 to 975 of the family's 1831-position model. The record is from RNAcentral. Lineage: Eukaryota; Haptophyta; Prymnesiales.
AUUCCAGCUCCAAUAGCGUAUAUUAAAGUUGUUGCAGUUAAAACGCUCGUAGUCGGAUUUCGGGGCGAACCCGCCGGUCUGCCGUUGGGUAUGCACUGGUGGGCGCGUCCUUCCUUCCGGAGACCGUUCCUACUCUUAGCUGAGCGGGGACGGGAGACGGAUCGUUUACUUUGAAAAAAUCAGAGUGUUUCAAGCAGGCAUUUGCUCUUGCAUGGAUUAGCAUGGGAUAAUGAAAUAGGACUUUGGUGCUAUUUUGUUGGUUUCGAACACCGAAGUAAUGAUUAACAGGGACAGUCAGGGGCACUCGUAUUCCGCCGAGAGAGGUGAAAUUCUCAGACCAGCGGAAGACGAACCACUGCGAAAGCAUUUGCCAGGGAUGUUUUCAUUA